AUGCCGCGGCUCCUCCUCUUUCUCCUCCUUUGCGUCUCGGUGUUGGCCGCUGCACCUGCACAGGCCUAUCAAGACAAGUGCGACAUCAAAGCCGCCGUCAGGAACGAUUCAGACACCGGCAAAAAUGAGGCGCCCGGGAUCGACGAUCUGUUCUAUGUUGUGGACAUCGACGAGCUCGAGCAGGCCACCGGCUUGGAAUUGGGUUUGUCUCAGGGUGAUGCUAUCGAAAUGGACCAACCUAUUCCUAGUACCAGCGCCGCCUUCCAAUCACCGGAUUUGAUCAACUGUCGGGCGAUCAACUGGACGAUUGAGGAGCGCCGUCGUGCUUGUCUGGCCCGCAUUGUCAGUCAUGUUUACUCCAGGGAGAAGAAAGCUAUCCCCCUAAGUCCCGACACAGGCUUCCGCCUCCACGGGGAGCCGCUCGAGGACGGCGACGACGUCUAUGCUGCCAUCUACGAGUACGUGGGCCAAGGCCGUGAGGACAAGUCCGCUCCACACUUGAUCGUCGCCUUCCGAGGCACCGACCUGUGCUGGAAACGGAGGGGGGUGAGGGACGUCUGGUUCGACUGCCUAAUUACUGUAGACGCCGUCAAGUACACUGGUCGCUUCAAGCUCGCCUACCAAAAGCUCGUCCACCUCAUGCUGGAUAAUCCAGGUCGCCCCGUUUGGCUCACCGGGCACUCUGCCGGCGCGUCCCUGGCGCUGCACGUGGGGACUCAUAUGGUGCUCAAGAAGGAGAUCAAGCUCCCGACUUUCGCCUUCAACCCACCGGUGGCCAUACUUGGCUGGUUUCCCGUUCCCAAGGGCGUAAAGAAGCUCAUUGGACCGCUGAUCCCAUCCAGGCGCAAGCAAUCGUUGAAGCUGUGCAGGUGGACUCCGGUGCUGUACGUGCACCAAAGAGACUUCUUCUUCUGCAGGAGGAUCAUUGAUUGCUUGAAGAAGCCGACCAAGUUGGACAAGUGGAUCAUCAACCUGCCGUCCCUGACCAUGUGUGAGAACUCCGCCAUUGUCCAAGCCGGGGGAGAGCAGUGUGGACUACACAGCAUUAAACAGUGGUUUAGUCCCAAUAGUGAGCUCAACAUGACCUGUCGAAAUAUCCAAGAAAAUCGGAAGCAUACUCCUGAGGCUCUCAGCCGGUUCAGCCUAGGCUAUGCUAGCAACGGCUUACAUGCUAUAUAUCAGGGCUAUGAAUUUCCUCUCUUCAGCUCAGAUGUACCACAAGCACCCUAA
This 1230-nucleotide ribosomal RNA is filed under the name Triticum aestivum (bread wheat). RNAcentral describes it as "partial small subunit ribosomal RNA". Lineage: Eukaryota; Viridiplantae; Streptophyta; Magnoliopsida; Poales; Poaceae. The record is from RNAcentral.